Molecule: ribosomal RNA, 1510 nt
Filed under: Helicobacter pylori
Lineage: Bacteria; Pseudomonadati; Campylobacterota; Epsilonproteobacteria; Campylobacterales; Helicobacteraceae
Description: bacterial SSU rRNA
Rfam family: Bacterial small subunit ribosomal RNA
Source: RNAcentral
UUUUAUGGAGAGUUUGAUCCUGGCUCAGAGUGAACGCUGGCGGCGUGCCUAAUACAUGCAAGUCGAACGAUGAAGCUUCUAGCUUGCUAGAGUGCUGAUUAGUGGCGCACGGGUGAGUAACGCAUAGGUCAUGUGCCUCUUAGUUUGGGAUAGCCAUUGGAAACGAUGAUUAAUACCAGAUACUCCCUACGGGGGAAAGAUUUAUCGCUAAGAGAUCAGCCUAUGUCCUAUCAGCUUGUUGGUAAGGUAAUGGCUUACCAAGGCUAUGACGGGUAUCCGGCCUGAGAGGGUGAACGGACACACUGGAACUGAGACACGGUCCAGACUCCUACGGGAGGCAGCAGUAGGGAAUAUUGCUCAAUGGGGGAAACCCUGAAGCAGCAACGCCGCGUGGAGGAUGAAGGUUUUAGGAUUGUAAACUCCUUUUGUUAGAGAAGAUAAUGACGGUAUCUAACGAAUAAGCACCGGCUAACUCCGUGCCAGCAGCCGCGGUAAUACGGAGGGUGCAAGCGUUACUCGGAAUCACUGGGCGUAAAGAGCGCGUAGGCGGGAUAGUCAGUCAGGUGUGAAAUCCUAUGGCUUAACCAUAGAACUGCAUUUGAAACUACUAUUCUAGAGUGUGGGAGAGGUAGGUGGAAUUCUUGGUGUAGGGGUAAAAUCCGUAGAGAUCAAGAGGAAUACUCAUUGCGAAGGCGACCUGCUGGAACAUUACUGACGCUGAUUGCGCGAAAGCGUGGGGAGCAAACAGGAUUAGAUACCCUGGUAGUCCACGCCCUAAACGAUGGAUGCUAGUUGUUGGAGGGCUUAGUCUCUCCAGUAAUGCAGCUAACGCAUUAAGCAUCCCGCCUGGGGAGUACGGUCGCAAGAUUAAAACUCAAAGGAAUAGACGGGGACCCGCACAAGCGGUGGAGCAUGUGGUUUAAUUCGAAGAUACACGAAGAACCUUACCUAGGCUUGACAUUGAGAGAAUCCGCUAGAAAUAGUGGAGUGUCUAGCUUGCUAGACCUUGAAAACAGGUGCUGCACGGCUGUCGUCAGCUCGUGUCGUGAGAUGUUGGGUUAAGUCCCGCAACGAGCGCAACCCCCUUUCUUAGUUGCUAACAGGUCAUGCUGAGAACUCUAAGGAUACUGCCUCCGUAAGGAGGAGGAAGGUGGGGACGACGUCAAGUCAUCAUGGCCCUUACGCCUAGGGCUACACACGUGCUACAAUGGGGUGCACAAAGAGAAGCAAUACUGCGAAGUGGAGCCAAUCUUCAAAACGCCUCUCAGUUCGGAUUGUAGGCUGCAACUCGCCUGCAUGAAGCUGGAAUCGCUAGUAAUCGCAAAUCAGCCAUGUUGCGGUGAAUACGUUCCCGGGUCUUGUACUCACCGCCCGUCACACCAUGGGAGUUGUGUUUGCCUUAAGUCAGGAUGCUAAAUUAGCUACUGCCCACGGCACACACAGCGACUGGGGUGAAGUCGUAACAAGGUAACCGUAGGUGAACCUGCGGUUGGAUCACCUCCUUUCUAGA